This is a long non-coding RNA of Ctenopharyngodon idella (grass carp), 1298 nucleotides long. RefSeq lists it as uncharacterized. Lineage: Eukaryota; Metazoa; Chordata; Actinopteri; Cypriniformes; Xenocyprididae. The transcript has 5 exons. The record is from RefSeq and is a predicted model, not a curated record.
UCCAGUGGGCGUAGUUCUCAUAGUAACAUGACAUGUUGCACUCUGUCUCAAUCGCCUGUAUCCACUUUUUAGUCCUUAAAUGCUAAUUUUUUUGGGUGGACAGCUUAUAAAAACUUCUGGGUUUUUGGUUCUGGGUUUUUCUGUACACCUUGUCACAUAGCAGCUUUUAGACAUUGUUCUGUUUUUUGUUAUGAGUCAGAAAUGACGAGGCAGCCUCAUGCAAUACAAAGUCAAUGGAGACGGCUGGAUUGUUUUCCCCCCCGGUGGGCGUGGUUUUCAGAUUAUGACACGUGUCGCUCUGUCUCUAUACGUCAUGACAGUCUGAGGACAACAGCGCCAGAUCAACAGCCUGAGGCCGGAAGUGGGCGGAGUAACAGUCUCACGCCGUAUGUGGGCAGAGUUAGCGACAAAAACAAUGGCGGAAGACGAGAACACGAGGCAUAUUAGGAUUCGGAGAGGCUCAGCUUUACUUUAUUUGCAGCGAUGCAAAACAUUCUGCUACAAUUUCCACUGCCCAGUGUUUACUGACAGCACAGGUUGAAUGCACGCCUUCAAAUUCACUUCAAAAAGGCUGUUGUCCAUGGAGUAAAUUGACAAGCAGAAUCACCCCAGAACAAUGGAAGCUGAUCAGAAACAAGAAGGUUCCACAACAGUUGGCCGGCUCUAUUGACUGUUGGAUCUUCAUGUUAAUGGAGCCACAGAUCACAGAAGACCCCUGCGCUGCACUUAAAUGGCUGCACAACAACCGAAAGUCUUCAAAGGUUUAGUGGAAGAGCUGUGCUUUCUGAUAUUGAAAGAGGAAGACCAGGAAAAAGCACUUCUUCAACUUCCACAGGCUAAAAUGGAUGAUGACAGACAACUGCCCAAAGAGCCUUUAGUGUUUUGCUUCCAAAUUAAGGAUGAUAUGGAUAUUUUUCUUAAUGAGUGUCUGGACAAAAAUGUUUAUGGAGAUUUUUUUUUUUUUUUUUUUUUUAAGAUUUAAUUUCUCAUCAUGUACCUGCUGUGCAAUAAUUUGUUCAAUUUACUCUCUUUGGUUUGAUUUUGUACUUUUUGUUUUAGAGCAAAGCACAGCUAGUAUAUGAUGUGUUUAAUACUUAGGGUAUUAAGUACAUUUUAUUAAAAUUAAAUAACUUUUGUGUUUUGUUUUUGGUUUUGAUGGAUCUGAAUUUGCUUAAUUCAUGUAAUCUAGUGUACAACUGUGUAAUGUGUAUUAUGUACUAUAAAAAAUGGUUCAUUCAUCAUGAAAUGCUUGAGUAAAAUAUACAUUUUAUGUCAAAUAAAUAAAUGUCAUUUUUAGU